This is a small nucleolar RNA of Limanda limanda (common dab), 82 nucleotides long. RefSeq annotates it as small nucleolar RNA SNORD11B. NCBI's taxonomy places the organism in Eukaryota, Metazoa, Chordata, Actinopteri, Pleuronectiformes, Pleuronectidae. The transcript has a single exon. The record is from RefSeq and is a predicted model, not a curated record.
AGCAAGCAGUGAUGAUGAUGACAUAGUCAACUUUCCUGAAAACACCUGAUGCUUUUAAGUCACUACCUCAUCUGAGCUUGCG